UUAAAGUAUUAUUCGGCAAGAUUCUUAAAAGUGACGUUUCCAACAUUUAGAAUUUAGAGAUUGCUUUAUUCUUCAAAAUGGAGACAUCUCUCGGACAAAAUUUUAGCCCCAAAGAUCUAUCUGUUUUAAAGAAGUUGUUGUUUUUUUCCUUGUUGAUGUUUGCUUUUCCAUUAGGAACGUUUUUACUUUGCAAAAAACUCUCCCAAAAGAAAAUGUGGUUGUACCAGUAGUUGGAAGUGUUGUGGCGGUUCAUAUUGUUAUAGGUGCAUACGUAUGGGUGGCCAUGAAUGAAGAUUCAAACCCAGUUGCUUUAAAAGAGGAUUAGUAAACACGCAAAAUUAUACUGAAUUCUGGUUUACAAUAGAAACACACUGCAACAGUUUGAUGUGAAAGAAAUAAUAAAUAAAUCAUUUCCAGUGAUGAUUAAAAUUUCUUCAUUAUUUUCAGCCAUUACCUCAGUGAAAAACUCACAACUUUUGCUUGUUAUUAAUUUGUGAUAAAAGGAAAAAUAUGGUUGUGCCAUUAAAAGUUAACUUUACCUGACUUGAGACAGUAGCAUUUCAUUUGAAAAAUUAAUAUUUCCAUUUAACUAAGAAAUACAUAGUAUUGACUUCUGUACAUUAGCUUAGUUUAUUGAUAUUAUGUGUGAUUAACAGUAAAUGUUUUGUGGAAUUAGUAGCUAAUGUUCAUAAUUAUUAAUAAAGCUCUUUUGUUUCCAAGAA
Long non-coding RNA from Xenia sp. Carnegie-2017, 722 nucleotides. RefSeq lists it as uncharacterized. The record is from RefSeq and is a predicted model, not a curated record. The transcript has 3 exons. Lineage: Eukaryota; Metazoa; Cnidaria; Anthozoa; Malacalcyonacea; Xeniidae.